This 253-nucleotide ribosomal RNA is filed under the name uncultured bacterium. RNAcentral describes it as "partial 16S ribosomal RNA". It matches the Rfam family "Bacterial small subunit ribosomal RNA", at positions 524 to 776 of the family's 1533-position model. The record is from RNAcentral.
UACGUAGGGUGCGAGCGUUAAUCGGAAUUACUGGGCGUAAAGCGUGCGCAGGCGGUUUGCUAAGACAGGUGUGAAAUCCCCGGGCUCAACCUGGGAACUGCGCUUGUGACUGGCAGGCUGGAGUACGGCAGAGGGGGGUGGAAUUCCUGGUGUAGCAGUGAAAUGCGUAGAUAUCAGGAGGAACAUCGAUGGCGAAGGCAGCCCCCUGGGCCGCUACUGACGCUCAUGCACGAAAGCGUGGGGAGCAAACAGG